This 1245-nucleotide ribosomal RNA is filed under the name Triticum aestivum (bread wheat). Its description in RNAcentral is "partial small subunit ribosomal RNA". Lineage: Eukaryota; Viridiplantae; Streptophyta; Magnoliopsida; Poales; Poaceae. The record is from RNAcentral.
AUGGAGGGGGAGAGCCACGCCGCCGCCAACGCCUUCAACGGCGCCCCGACCCGCCGCUCGGGGCAGGACGUCAUCGUCCUGUCCUCGGCGACGGCGAGGCCGCCGCGGUCGGUGGAGGCGGUGGUGCUGGUGGACGCGGAGGGGGAGGGGCAGGGGCAGGGGCCGCGCAUGGAGAUGGAGGCGCCGCCGGAGAAGCUGUACUUCAAGACCAGGCUCUGCGACAAGUACGAGGACACCGGCCGCUGCAUGUACGAGGACGGUUGCACCUUCGCGCACGGCCGCGCCGAGCUUCGCCCGCCGGUCCCCCCUGUCGGCGGCUUCGCCGUCGCCGGCGGCGGCAAGGUGUGCUUCAACUUCAGGGACACGGGCACCUGCCAUUUCGGGGACAGGUGCGCCUUCCCCCACGCUGCACCAUCAGGUCACGCGAUUCGCCUCACCGGGGACCAGAAGGUGCUAACAUCCCCAGGGCCGCGCUACGCCGCCACCGCCAGGGCGUACCCGUACCCGCCGCUGCUUCCCCCGGCCGCGCAUGAUCGUCUUGCCCAGAUGACCGAGGAGAACGGGGGCAAAAAGCCCAACAGGCUGAUGCUCAUGAGCCAACGGAAGAUCAGCGGGAUCUACGGCGACUGGCCGGAGCAGAAGGAGCAGGAGAAGGGGCUGGAUCCUCCAGAGCUGACGGGGAAGAAGAGGCAUGGGAUCUGGAUCAGGAGCCGUGCUGGUGCUUGUGGCAGCAUGUCUAGCGAUUGCCCCGCCCUGCGCUCUGGCUUCUUCUCGCAAGCACAUAGUAAGAUAGGGUCAUCUUUACUUGUUAAUGAUGGUGCUACAAAUAUUUCCCAGAACAAUAUUGAUGCAGGCCUCCUACUUCGCCUGGCUGAUAGCAAUCUGAAGGAUACUCAAGCCAAGGAAGGGACACCUUCCGAUUGUGCUGGUUACGCAGUGAAACCUGUCAAAGGCAACGCGAUUCUGCUGUUCAAUUCAAGGCCUGACGGAAUCGCCGACAAGGACAGCCAGUAUGAGGCCUGUUCUGUCCUUGAAGGGGAGAAAUGGCUCGCCAUAAAACAUAUGCAUGCCAGCAAGAUUGAUAAAUCAGAACCUUCUCCGGUAUCCGAGGAUGAUGGUUGCACCGAUGAAGAUGGUAACUGUGUCAAUUGGGCUGCUGCCGGUGAAUGCGACAAGAAUCCAGUGUUUAUGAUUGGAAGUCCAGACUACUAUGGCACUUGCAGGAAGACCUGCCAUGCGUGCUAG